Molecule: long non-coding RNA, 258 nt
Filed under: Dasypus novemcinctus (nine-banded armadillo)
Lineage: Eukaryota; Metazoa; Chordata; Mammalia; Cingulata; Dasypodidae
Description: lncRNA (ENSDNOG00000052195.1)
Source: RNAcentral
CCAGGAAGUUCCUUGGAGGUCCUCGGAAAACCGGACAGUGUUCGUCUGGCCAUUCAUAUAGAUUUCUGAGAAAUGCUGAUUUCUGAUUUUCGUAUUUGUCUCAGGCACCAAAUUGACUUACUGGAGGUGACACUGAGCUGGUAGCUCUACCUGGAUGAUUCGUCAGCAUGAGAUGACAUUGGCUGGGCAUACUCAACAACUUCCUCCCCACCCACAGGUAAGACCACAGGAACCGUCUCUGAAGCCCACCUCCAGGGC